This 436-nucleotide ribosomal RNA is filed under the name uncultured bacterium. RNAcentral describes it as "partial 16S ribosomal RNA". It matches the Rfam family "Bacterial small subunit ribosomal RNA", at positions 29 to 507 of the family's 1533-position model. The record is from RNAcentral.
AACGAACGCUGGCGGCAUGCCUAACACAUGCAAGUCGAACGAGAUCCUUCGGGGUCUAGUGGCGCACGGGUGCGUAACGCGUGGGAAUCUGCCCUUAGGUUCGGAAUAACAGUUAGAAAUGACUGCUAAUACCGGAUGAUGACGUUAAGUCCAAAGAUUUAUCGCCUGAGGAUGAGCCCGCGUAGGAUUAGCUAGUUGGUGUGGUAAAGGCGCACCAAGGCGACGAUCCUUAGCUGGUCUGAGAGGAUGAUCAGCCACACUGGGACUGAGACACGGCCCAGACUCCUACGGGAGGCAGGAGUGGGGAAUAUUGGACAAUGGGCGCAAGCCUGAUCCAGCAAUGCCGCGUGAGUGAUGAAGGCCUUAGGGUUGUAAAGCUCUUUUACCCGGGAUGAUAAUGACAGUACCGGGAGAAUAAGCCCCGGCUAACUCCGUG